CAUGCAAGUCGAGGGGAAACGACAUCGAAAGCUUGCUUUUGAUGGGCGUCGACCGGCGCACGGGUGAGUAACGCGUAUCCAACCUGCCCACCACUUGGGGAUAACCUUGCGAAAGUAAGACUAAUACCCAAUGACGUCUCUAGAAGACAUCUGAAAGGGAUUAAAGAUUUAUCGGUGAUGGAUGGGGAUGCGUCUGAUUAGCUUGUUGGCGGGGUAACGGCCCACCAAGGCUACGAUCAGUAGGGGUUCUGAGAGGAAGGUCCCCCACAUUGGAACUGAGACACGGUCCAAACUCCUACGGGAGGCAGCAGUGAGGAAUAUUGGUCAAUGGACGAGAGUCUGAACCAGCCAAGUAGCGUGCAGGAUGACGGCCCUAUGGGUUGUAAACUGCUUUUAUAAGGGAAUAAAGUGAGCCUCGUGAGGCUUUUUGCAUGUACCUUAUGAAUAAGGACCGGCUAAUUCCGUGCCAGCAGCCGCGGUAAUACGGAAGGUCCGGGCGUUAUCCGGAUUUAUUGGGUUUAAAGGGAGCGUAGGCCGGAGAUUAAGCGUGUUGUGAAAUGUAGAUGCUCAACAUCUGCACUGCAGCGCGAACUGGUUUCCUUGAGUACGCACAAAGUGGGCGGAAUUCGUGGUGUAGCGGUGAAAUGCUUAGAUAUCACGAAGAACUCCGAUUGCGAAGGCAGCUCACUGGAGCGCAACUGACGCUGAAGCUCGAAAGUGCGGGUAUCGAACAGGAUUAGAUACCCUGGUAGUCCGCACGGUAAACGAUGGAUGCCCGCUGUUGGUCUGAAUAGGUCAGCGGCCAAGCGAAAGCAUUAAGCAUCCCACCUGGGGAGUACGCCGGCAACGGUGAAACUCAAAGGAAUUGACGGGGGCCCGCACAAGCGGAGGAACAUGUGGUUUAAUUCG
This 909-nucleotide ribosomal RNA is filed under the name uncultured bacterium. RNAcentral describes it as "bacterial SSU rRNA". It matches the Rfam family "Bacterial small subunit ribosomal RNA", at positions 54 to 953 of the family's 1533-position model. The record is from RNAcentral.